AAGUCGUAACAAGGUUUCCGUAGGUGAACCUGCGGAAGGAUCAUUAACACAAGCAGUCAGUGUCGGAAAGUGUCAUUGAUUGUGCAAGGAUAGCGCUUCUACGAUUCCUGUAGACCGUACACUCGGGCAGGAGCUUUGCAAAGGGUCCCCAUGCCCCCUAAUAACCCCACAGUUUAAUGUGAAGCUCAAUGUAAUACAUUGGGUACAAAAACCGAACAACUGUUAACAAUGGAUAUCUUGGUUCUC
Molecule: unclassified non-coding RNA, 246 nt
Filed under: fungal sp.
Lineage: Eukaryota; Fungi
Description: partial internal transcribed spacer region
Rfam family: Eukaryotic small subunit ribosomal RNA (bases 1-46)
Source: RNAcentral